UGAAGCAACAAAUGCCCUGCUUCCAGGAAAAGCCUCUAAGCAUCAGGUAACAUCAAAUCGUACCCCAAACCGACACAGGUGGUCAGGUAGAGAAUACCAAGGCGCUUGAGAGAACUCGGGUGAAGGAACUAGGCAAAAUGGUGCCGUAACUUCGGGAGAAGGCACGCUGACACGUAGGUGAAGUGAUUUACUCACGGAGCUGAAGUCAGUCGAAGAUACCAGCUGGCUGCAACUGUUUAUUAAAAACACAGCACUGUGCAAACACGAAAGUGGACGUAUACGGUGUGACGCCUGCCCGGUGCCGGAAGGUUAAUUGAUGGGGUCAGCGCAAGCGAAGCUCCUGAUCGAAGCCCCGGUAAACGGCGGCCGUAACUAUAACGGUCCUAAGGUAGCGAAAUUCCUUGUCGGGUAAGUUCCGACCUGCACGAAUGGCGUAAUGAUGGCCAGGCUGUCUCCACCCGAGACUCAGUGAAAUUGAACUCGCUGUGAAGAUGCAGUGUACCCGCGGCAAGACGGAAAGACCCCGUGAACCUUUACUAUAGCUUGACACUGAACAUUGAGCCUUGAUGUGUAGGAUAGGUGGGAGGCUUUGAAGUGUGGACGCCAGUCUGCAUGGAGCCGACCUUGAAAUACCACCCUUUAAUGUUUGAUGUUCUAACGUGGACCCGUAAUCCGGGUUGCGGACAGUGUCUGGUGGGUAGUUUGACUGGGGCGGUCUCCUCCUAAAGAGUAACGGAGGAGCACGAAGGUUGGCUAAUCCUGGUCGGACAUCAGGAGGUUAGUGCAAUGGCAUAAGCCAGCUUGACUGCGAGCGUGACGGCGCGAGCAGGUGCGAAAGCAGGUCAUAGUGAUCCGGUGGUUCUGAAUGGAAGGGCCAUCGCUCAACGGAUAAAAGGUACUCCGGGGAUAACAGGCUGAUACCGCCCAAGAGUUCAUAUCGACGGCGGUGUUUGGCACCUCGAUGUCGGCUCAUCACAUCCUGGGGCUGAAGUAGGUCCCAAGGGUAUGGCUGUUCGCCAUUUAAAGUGGUACGCGAGCUGGGUUUAGAACGUCGUGAGACAGUUCGGUCCCUAUCUGCCGUGGGCGCUGGAGAACUGAGGGGGGCUGCUCCUAGUACGAGAGGACCGGAGUGGACGCAUCACUGGUGUUCGGGUUGUCAUGCCAAUGGCACUGCCCGGUAGCUAAAUGCGGAAGAGAUAAGUGCUGAAAGCAUCUAAGCACGAAACUUGCCCCGAGAUGAGUUCUCCCUGAGACUUAGAGUCUCCUGAAGGAACGUUGAAGACGACGACGUUGAUAGGCCGGGUGUGUAAGCGCAGCGAUGCGUUGAGCUAACCGGUACUAAUGAACCGUGAGGCUUAACCUU
RNAcentral lists this ribosomal RNA (1363 nucleotides) under Salmonella enterica. RNAcentral's name for it is "partial 23S ribosomal RNA". It matches the Rfam family "Bacterial large subunit ribosomal RNA", at positions 1586 to 2925 of the family's 2925-position model. RNAcentral also lists the same sequence under 1 other name. Lineage: Bacteria; Pseudomonadati; Pseudomonadota; Gammaproteobacteria; Enterobacterales; Enterobacteriaceae. The record is from RNAcentral.